GUGGCUAUAGCUCAGUGAUAGAGUGCAUGCUUAGCAUGUGCUAGGUCCUGGGUUCAAUUCCCAGUACUUCCA
Molecule: transfer RNA, 72 nt
Filed under: Camelus bactrianus (Bactrian camel)
Lineage: Eukaryota; Metazoa; Chordata; Mammalia; Artiodactyla; Camelidae
Also listed under: 2 other names
Rfam family: tRNA
About the family: Transfer RNA (tRNA) molecules are approximately 80 nucleotides in length. Their secondary structure includes four short double-helical elements and three loops (D, anti-codon, and T loops).
Source: Rfam by way of RNAcentral